CCCCUUUUAAAAGCAUUCAGUAGUCCUUUUGUUAAUAGCGGAUGAGCUGUCAAGAAAGAGUAGAGUAGAAGCACUGCUUUUGGAUGAAGUAGUGCUGGCCUGUUGUGUAGUUUUGCUUCAAUCAGUGGUAUGACAAAG
This is a small nucleolar RNA of Dipodomys ordii (Ord's kangaroo rat), 138 nucleotides long. Lineage: Eukaryota; Metazoa; Chordata; Mammalia; Rodentia; Heteromyidae. The record is from Ensembl.